UUUUUUUUUUUUUUUUUUUUUUUCUUUUGAGAUAGGGUCUUGCUCUGUCACCCAGCCUGGAGUGCAGUGGCACAAUCAUGGCUCACUGCAGCCUCGUCCUCCUGGUCUUAGGUCAUUGAUUCUCCCACCUCAGCCUCCCGAGUAGCUGGGACUACAGGCAUGAACUACCAUGCCUGGCUAAUUUUUUUGAUUUUUAGUAGAGAUGAGGUCUCUUGAGCUCAAACUCCUGAGUCUCAAACUCUUGAGCUCAAGCAAUCCUCCUGCCUCGGCCUCCUAAAAUGUUGUGAUUACAGGUGUGAGCUACCACGCCUUGCCUGAGUUGAUCUUCUACAAGAGUUCAAACAAAAAACAGACCAUACCGGGAUGAUCACUUCAAACAUGAGGAUGGGAAUAUGCUGACGUCAGACACAGGGUUGAUGUGAGACCUACAGAGAAUACAUAUAAAGCAUCAGACAUGAAGUCCAGCACAUAGUAGGUAUUGAAUAAAUGGCAGUGAGUGGUCAUGUCCAGAAAUGGAGCCAAGAAGUUGAGCCUGGACUGCUAAGAAUCUGGUCUGAAGAAUUUCGAAAAGGAGAAUGGUUCUCCCUGAUAACAAAUAGUGAUGAGUAAAACCUGACAAAUUACAUAUGCCUCCCCCAAAUAUGUAAGUUUGGAAUCAACUCGGUGGUUUUCUUCAGAGAAAAAAUGUUUCAUGUCUGCCUCCCACAUUUAAUUCUCCAACGUCUUCCUGAAAUUAUUUCAGAAUGAAAUGAAGUAGCAUACUUGAGGUUAAAUUCAAUAAAAAAUAUCUGAAGCAUAAAAAUACAAUUAUAGACUUGACAGUAGUUUUUUCUCUCUGAGUUUGUAGAGCUUGAUAGAGUUUAUGCUAAGCAAAAUGACUGCAGAUAACUAACAACAGGUCUCAUAUUAGACUUUUAUUUUUGAAGCAUCAUAAGCUAUUUUUCUUUUUCUCAAACAUAGAGUUUACUUUUUAGAGCAGUCUCUGUGGGUUUUGACAAAUGUAUGACAUAUAUCUGCCACUGUAGUAUCACACAGAAGAGUUUCACUGCCCUAGAAGUUUCCUGCGUUCUGCCUGUUCCCUGUCUCUCCCCAAAUCCCUGCUGACCACUGAUCUUUUUACUGUCUCCCUAGUUUUGUCUCCAUCGAAGCUCAUAUAGUUGGAGUCAUACAGAGUGUAGCUUUUUCAGAUUUGCUUCUUUCACCUAGUAGAUCAUAUGCAUGUAAGGUUCCUCCAUGUUGUUUUAGUUAGGUUUUUGUGGCUCGAUAGUGUUUAGCACUGAAUAAUAUUCUGUUGUCUGAGCACCACAGUUUAUGCACUCACCUACUGAAGGAUAUCUUGGUUGCUUACAAGGUUUGGAAAUUAUGAAUAAAGCUGCUACAAACAUCUGUGUGUAGGUUCUUUGUGGAUAGACGUUUUUAACUUAUUUAUGUAAAGACCAAAGAGCACAAUUGCUGGAUCAUAUGCCAGGAGUCUUCUGAGAAACUACCAAACUGUCUUCCAGAGUGACUGUACCAUUUUGUAUUCAAACAAGCAAUGAAUGAGAGUCCCUGUUGCUCCGCAUCUCCACCAGCAUUUGAUGUUGUCAGUGUUGGAUUUUGGCCGUCCUAAUAGGUGUACAAUGGGAUCUUGUCGUUGCUUUAAUUUGCAUUUCUUUGAUGAAGUAUGAUGUGGAGCAUCUUUUCAUGUGCUUAUUUGCCACCUGUAUAUCUUCUUUGGUGAGAUGUCUUUCAGGUUUUUUGCCCAUUAUUUAAUUGGGGUUAUUCAUUUUCUUAUUGUUGAAUUUUAAGAGUUCUUUGUAUAUUUCAGUUGUGUUCUUUAUCAAAUAUGUCUUUUGCAAAUAUUUUCUGUCAGUCAGUGGCUUGUCUUCUCAUUUUGUUUUAAGCUAUUCUUUUUUAACAGCUGACUUGAGGUCGUAUCAAAUUGUUGGUUUUGUUGUCCUGAGAGACCAAAUUCCCUAUUUUCUUCAUUAGAAUCUCAUUAAAUCUCAUUUGCU
This 1994-nucleotide long non-coding RNA is filed under the name Pongo abelii (Sumatran orangutan). RNAcentral describes it as "lncRNA (ENSPPYG00000038746.1)". Lineage: Eukaryota; Metazoa; Chordata; Mammalia; Primates; Hominidae. The record is from RNAcentral.